CGACCGGCGUACGGGUGAGUAACACGUAUCCAACCUGCCGUCUACUCUUGGCCAGCCUUCUGAAAGGAAGAUUAAUCCAGGAUGGGAUCAUGAGUUCACAUGUCCGCAUGAUUAAAGGUAUUUUCCGGUAGACGAUGGGGAUGCGUUCCAUUAGAUAGUAGGCGGGGUAACGGCCCACCUAGUCAACGAUGGAUAGGGGUUCUGAGAGGAAGGUCCCCCACAUUGGAACUGAGACACGGUCCAA
This 244-nucleotide ribosomal RNA is filed under the name uncultured bacterium. RNAcentral describes it as "partial 16S ribosomal RNA". It matches the Rfam family "Bacterial small subunit ribosomal RNA", at positions 92 to 334 of the family's 1533-position model. The record is from RNAcentral.